Long non-coding RNA from Canis lupus familiaris (dog), 696 nucleotides. RefSeq lists it as uncharacterized. The transcript has 3 exons. NCBI's taxonomy places the organism in Eukaryota, Metazoa, Chordata, Mammalia, Carnivora, Canidae. The record is from RefSeq and is a predicted model, not a curated record.
GACGCGCAUGCUCGCGGGGGCCGAGCCUCCGGGGCCUUCCGGCGGGGAGUGCGGGGGCGCCUGGCGGGCCCGGCCGGGCUCGGGUGCGGAGAGCUACGAGGCCGAACUGGGGCUUCCGUGGGUCCCGGAGUGAACGUCCGCCGGACUAUCCGGCGGUCAGCGGUGCUUGCCCUCGUUCAACGCCGCCCAAACCAAACCCCGCUCUUGCAAAAAAAAAAAAAAAAAAGAAAAAACUACCGACAGUUUUGGGUGAAUCCCCGACAGGUCCGCCUGGCGCGGCCGGUGGGGCGGGAACCGUGCAAGGGACACCAACUGGUCGGAAACGCAAUCCUAGAGCAGAGGGGACAAAGGAGGUAACACUAUGGUAGAGGAAGCUGAGACUUGCCUGUAAGCUCUCCAGUCCUCAGUGGUAAGGAAGAGACUACAGCCUUUGGACCCGGGAAACCAAGAUGCGUGUGGAUGCCCAUCCGGAGCUCUUUCCAGGAUCUUGGACUCAAAACCCGUUUAAGCAUCCACGAGCUGUGCAGGGGGCUGCUCUGUGUGCCAGACUUCCUUCGCCUUAACGGAUAUUCUUCUUUAUAUCCAAGAGGAGAUCUCUUGCAGGUUUGCUCUUAUUUCCAAGACUUUAUAUCCAAGAGGAGAUCUCUUGCAGUUUUGCUCUUAUUUCCAAGAAUAAAUGCUACGGGUUUGCACAUA